This 505-nucleotide ribosomal RNA is filed under the name uncultured bacterium. RNAcentral describes it as "partial 16S ribosomal RNA". It matches the Rfam family "Bacterial small subunit ribosomal RNA", at positions 28 to 507 of the family's 1533-position model. The record is from RNAcentral.
GACGAACGCUGGCGGCGUGCCUAAUACAUGCAAGUAGAACGCACAGUUUAUACCGUAGCUUGCUACACCAUAGACUGUGAGUUGCGAACGGGUGAGUAACGCGUAGGUAACCUGCCUGGUAGCGGGGGAUAACUAUUGGAAACGAUAGCUAAUACCGCAUAAUAUUAAUUAUUGCAUGAUAAUUAAUUGAAAGGUGCAAUUGCACCACUACCAGAUGGACCUGCGUUGUAUUAGCUAGUAGGUGAGGUAACGGCCCACCUAGGCGACGAUACAUAGCCGACCUGGGAGGGUGGUCGGGCACACUGGGACUGAGGCACGGCCCCGACUCCUACGGGAGGGAGCAGGAGGGAAUUUUCGGAAAUGGACGAAAGUCUGACCGAGCAACGCCGGGGGAGUGAAGAAGGGUUUCGGAUCGUAAAGCUCUGUUGUAAGAGAAGAACGGGUGGGAGAGUGGAAAGUUCACACUGUGACGGUAGCUUAACAGAAAGGGACGGCUAACUACGUG